Long non-coding RNA from Oryzias melastigma (Indian medaka), 670 nucleotides. RefSeq lists it as uncharacterized. NCBI's taxonomy places the organism in Eukaryota, Metazoa, Chordata, Actinopteri, Beloniformes, Adrianichthyidae. The transcript has 4 exons. The record is from RefSeq and is a predicted model, not a curated record.
CUGACCCGAGCAUUGCUGUGGAUGCACACGCGGUCAGAGAUGGCCUCUGCUGCACCAAAUGCCUGAAAGCAGAAAACCUUUGGGUUCAACAACCACCAGCAGCAGCAGGAGGACGAGGAAGAAUGACAUCUAUGCAGAAUCAGGAGUGGAGGCCCCUGGAGUUGAUCCCACAGGAGUCGAAGCUGCAGGAGUCGAGGCGCCAGGGGUUCCACCUGGAGAAGUGCCUGGUGUUGUGCCGGGAGUGGCAGGAAUGACAACUACAGGGCCCGGGCCUGGACUGGCGGAUCGAGGCUCCAGUCGUGGAGUGGAUGUGACAAAGCGAGCCUCCCUAAUCCGGGAUCCCUGACUUUUUCUCCGGGGAACCCGCCAGGAGAGAUUCCUCACAACCCCAACCUGACAUUACUGGUGCAACAAAAUUGGAGAGCAAUACUGGAGUCGUACAGUUCUGAACCAGAUGUCAACUCAAACGAGGAAAAUUAAGACGCUAAUGGAUCUGUUCAUCUACAAGUGCAUGCAUUAGAAUAGAGCGGAGAAGGGAGCUUGUGGCUUGUAGGUCCUAUGUUACACCUGUAAACCUUUUGUAAUGGAAGUUUUUUGUCUGCUCUUGAUUUACUAUGAUUAAAAUAAAGAAAUACUCAGAAAUACUAUUUUAAUCUUAAUUUUCUCUAUA